RNAcentral lists this ribosomal RNA (444 nucleotides) under uncultured bacterium. Its description in RNAcentral is "SSU rRNA". It matches the Rfam family "Bacterial small subunit ribosomal RNA", at positions 26 to 518 of the family's 1533-position model. The record is from RNAcentral.
AGAACGAACGCUGGCGGCAGGCUUAACACAUGCAAGUCGAGCGCCCCGCAAGGGGAGCGGCAGACGGGUGAGUAACGCGUGGGAACAUACCCUCCGGUUCGGAAUAGCUCAGGGAAACUUGGAUUAAUACCGGAUACGGCCUAGCGGCGAAAGAUUGAUCGCCGGAGGAUUGGCCCGCGUCUGAUUAGCUAGUUGGUGGGGUAAUGGCCCACCAAGGCGACGAUCAGUAGCUGGUCUGAGAGGAUGAUCAGCCACAUUGGGACUGAGACACGGCCCAAACUCCUACGGGAGGCAGCAGUGGGGAAUAUUGGACAAUGGGCGCAAGCCUGAUCCAGCCAUGCCGCGUGAGUGAUGACGGCCUUAGGGUUGUAAAGCUCUUUCGCUAGGGACGAUAAUGACGGUACCUAGACAAGAAGCCCCGGCUAACUUCGUGCCAGCAGCCGC